CAAAUUUACAUUUAUUUUCAUUUACAUUGAAAUUCUGAGAAUUAUCUCGAAUUUGA
This 56-nucleotide transfer RNA is filed under the name Anisocentropus maculatus. RNAcentral describes it as "tRNA-Val". The record is from RNAcentral. Lineage: Eukaryota; Metazoa; Arthropoda; Insecta; Trichoptera; Calamoceratidae.